Molecule: ribosomal RNA, 499 nt
Filed under: uncultured bacterium
Lineage: Bacteria
Description: bacterial SSU rRNA
Rfam family: Bacterial small subunit ribosomal RNA
Source: RNAcentral
ACUCAAAGGAAUUGACGGGGGCCCGCACAAGCGGUGGAUCAUGUGGUUUAAUUCGACGCUACGCGAAGAACCUUACCAGCUUUUGACAUGUAUGCUGCGAUCCCAAGAGAUUGGGGUCUCAUUUAGUUGGGCAUACACAGGUGCUGCAUGGCUGUCGUCAGCUCGUGUCGUGAGAUGUUGGGUUAAGUCCCGCAACGAGCGCAACCCUCAUCUUUAGUUGCCAUCGGGUAGAGCCGGGCACUCUAAAGAAACUGCCGGUGACAAGCCGGAGGAAGGUGGGGAUGACGUCAAGUCCUCAUGGCCCUUACAGGCUGGGCUACACACGUGAUACAAUGGCGACUACAGAGGGAAGCUAUCCUGCGAAGGUGAGCGGAUCCUCAAAAGUCGUCUCAGUUCGGAUUGUACUCUGCAACUCGAGUGCAUGAAGUUGGAAUCGCUAGUAAUCGCGAAUCAGCAGGUCGCGGUGAAUACGUUCCCGGGCCUUGUACACACCGCCCGU